Molecule: long non-coding RNA, 1268 nt
Organism: Pogoniulus pusillus (Red-fronted tinkerbird)
Lineage: Eukaryota; Metazoa; Chordata; Aves; Piciformes; Lybiidae
Exons: 2
Source: RefSeq, a predicted model, not a curated record
AAUGCAGGACAGAGACUUUUCGCUCUUAAGCGGUAAUGGAAGAAACUACUGAAGAGACAGAGGGAUGAAAAGCAGAGAGAAAAAAGAGAUGGCAGAGCGAUCACACCAGAGAAACUGGAAACUCCCCCGCAUUUUCUACCAUGUGGCCUUAAGAUGGAGACCAGCUUGUUAUGACCAGCCUGUUUUUCUUAAGUGAGCAGAAGUCUUGCUCAGAUGGAAGAAUUGUGGAAAGAACUUGAAAGGAGUACUGACAUGAUGAUUAUGUGUGUAUGGAUUAUAAGGUUUUGAUCAUGGUUGAUGAAUUUGGAUAUUUUCAUGAGAUUUAAUAGCACCUGUUGUAAAGGCCAUAUCCACUUAAUUGACACAGAUGGCGAUGUGCUUGUAUCUUUUUGCAAGGGCCCUGCAAAAAGAUGAGAAACACUGCCUUAAAUUCUUAAAGCAAAUAAAGGACUGUGGGGAAAGGCCUAAUAGGAAACCUGAAGGCUUCCUAGGGCAUAUCUUUGUAUCAUAUUUAGAAAUUGGUAGUUCUUAAGCACAACAGACAGACUCAGCUCAUAGCUAAGGAGUGUGAUGAAAACAUCAAGAUUUCUGAGAACUAUAGAGUGAAUCCAGAACUACGGAAGUCUGAGGAAGAAUACUGGACAACUGAUACAUCUGCAAGUCUACAACAUCCACUGCCACACAGAGCCAAUGAAGACGUGGCACACCUGUACUCUCCUGUGACUGUGAUGUUUGUCUGGACUUUUGGGCUUUUGAACACAUGACUUACUGUCACUUGCAGAAAAAGCUUUUCAGACUGUUAGGUAAGCUUGAGUUGUUAGCUUGCCAAACUAAUGCUACUAAUGAAAGCUCUAACAGGUUUAUUCUCUUUCUGAUUUUAGCACUAUGGAUUUGUAGCUGUAUCGUUUACCCCUGUGUAAAGUUGAAGAUCAAGCCCAGGUUGCUCAAAAGAAAGAGAGGGAAAUGUUGGACAUGAAAUGAUAAACAUGAGCAACCCAUGUCCUUGAGUCCAUCUUGGGAAUUAAGAUACCAGGCCCUGGGCAGCACCCCCCACAUGCAGCUGCAGGGGGUGGAGUGCCAGCUGCAUGUGGGCAGAGUUAGCCAGCCCCAGAGGCUGACCCUCAGAUUGUUAUGGUAUAUUAACCUAUCCAUGCUUCACAUGUAACCCUGUACCCUCUAUAUGUAACCAAUCUUAGUGGAUCACGCCUCUUGCAAGAAAGCAUAUAACUCACUGUACAUGGAAAUAAAGUCGGACUAUGACCAUCUAA